RNAcentral lists this long non-coding RNA (3265 nucleotides) under Bemisia tabaci. RNAcentral describes it as "lncRNA ENSSSA1UGG003660". The record is from RNAcentral. Lineage: Eukaryota; Metazoa; Arthropoda; Insecta; Hemiptera; Aleyrodidae.
UUUAUCAGUUUAUGUCAGUCAAUAAUACCGUUUGACGAUUGACGCAAAUCCGAUAUUGCGUUUUAAAGCGUUCUUAGUAUCUGUUUUUAGGUGCCUUAAAGAGUUGUACCACUGCUGCAUACUUCAAAAUGGCUGAUAUUCAUCAACAUUGUAAUGAAUCAGAACUCCGCAUGUGCGUAUUAAGAAAAGGGGGAAAAGAAAGGAAAUUGAAUUCAUCGGUUUGAAACGGAAUCUUUUUUGUCUUUUUUUUUUGCUUGGUUUUACGUCUCAAUUAUUGAUCCCAAACCAAUUGCAGUCACGCGAGCGUUUUGCGUUCCUCAAAUUUUGUCACGCCCGACCAUAUGUCAGCAGAGGAUGCCAGAUUUAAAGGAAAAACUUAAAAGUUAGGGUUGGUGUAAUCUGAGAGAGUCUGAGGUUUCAACCAUUUUGUAACCCAGUUAUUCCUCUCGGCUUGAAAUCAAAUUUAAGUGUUCUGUACCGUCAGUUGUGUGUAUUCUUUUUAUCGAAUCAGUCUGAUGAACUCGAGAGGAGGAUGCAUCGUGAUUCUGUCACUCCUUGUAGGGGGUGCGCUCACAAAAGAGACAGGAGAAAAGUUUGGCAUGGCAGUCGGUGAAAAAGACGGAUCUAUGAAGAUGGAGGAAAAACUUCCAAGGCGUGAAUCAAGUUCAUCCUCCGAGUCAUCUCCAAACCCGACGAAUUUUCCACAUCCCUUUGAUCCGUACGAGAAUUUAGGACAUUAUCAUCAUGCGUCCGCGAUAUCAUCUCAGAACCAAAAUUCUAGAAAAAAUGAUGAAGGGAAGACUUUCCAUGCCCCACAGCCUGGUAGGAAUUCCGGUCCAGCGGACUCGACCAUACAAAUUAAUGGGCAAGAGAUGUCAAAGCAACCCUUGGACACUGUCAGGGAUGAUCUCGAGGUUAAGAGCCGAGAACACGCUUCAGACAGCCUCAAAAGAGGUCAAGAGAAAAUCGUGGACAUACCAAUAGAGGGCGCUGAUGAAACCCUGGACACUUUCGUGGUCGACGAAGAAAAUCCCUCGACCAAUCAUGUUCCCUCUCAAAACGUGAGACCAAAUGAUGUUUCUCCCAGCAACACGGCGUCACUCUCAACGCUCCUACAGGGAAUCAGGGAUUUGCGUCUGACCGUCGGAGAAAUGGACGAGAAGUUUGAUAGAUUAAUAGAAAAGCUAAUUCCAAAUAAUACCAAGGGCAAUCCGAUGAUCAGGAAAGGUGUCGCUUGGUUCAAUAAACUACUGCAUCGUGACAGCGUGCAGGGUCCAGCCAAGGUGCAACCACACCAAGCAGACUCAGCAGAAGGAAAGAACCAUCAAACAAUGAGAUGGAUGGACUACUUUCGCAGCCGGUCUUCUUAAAUGUGAGGACCCUUGAUUAUAAUUUAUUGUGUGACAUCAUCAUGGUAAAAGGAAACUGAACCACCAGUUGACAGAAGUCAAACCACGGAAAAAAUGGAUUGCUAAUUUAACAAUAAAAUUGUCAAAAAAAAGUGACAGACAUGUUUCAAAUGUACAUUUUACAAUAGUGGAAAGCUAAUUCAACCACGGGCGUCGUUGAAUUAGCAUGUUUUUAUUGUAAAAUCUACAUUGAAACGUGUCUGUCACUUUUUUUAACUACAAAUUUGUUAAAUCAGAAAUUUAAUUUUUCCGUGUGCCUACUGAGAGAGGCAAUGGGACGGUUUCCUGUGUCAGAGGAUUGUACAUUAAUGGUUCGAUCUGAAGUGAAGGGAUCAAAGCCAGAUGGUUUCAAAUACAUUAAAAAUUGCAGUGUUUGAUUUGACACUUUUUUUAAAAUUAUUGAAUAAAUGAAGCACUACUGCAAAUUUUUGUCUGAAAUUGGACGCAUUCAAAUGACGGAAGUUUAAUUGAACCAUUUAUGGCAGGUACUGUAAAUUGGACGUAUUUCUAUCAAACGGAACUAUGUGCAUUAUGAUGUGAGCCCUGUUAAGCAUAUAUUCUUAUGGGUCUCAGGGCUCAUGUCUUAAUGCACAUAGUUCCGUUUGACAGAAAUACGUCCAAUUCAGAUGAUGAUUAUCUUUUUUUUCUUCAUUAAUUUCAAACAGCCAGUUUUGGCCAUAGACAGUGAACAGAUACGUAUUUAUGAAAUUAUAAAGGCUGCACAGAAAUUUAGCAUGUAUCCACAAACUUAAAAAUAAAUUUAUCACAACUCUUAUUCCUCCUCUUUUGCUUCCUGUUAUUAUUUUCCCUCCUCUCAUCUUUCUUCAUAUUCUUCUUUUCUUUCUCCUUCUUCACUUCCUCUCACGUCCGAUUUUUUCUUGUUCUCAUCUGACAGACCAUGGCUAAAGUGCGAGACUGCGUAUCUCCGUUUCCAACGUUGUAGAAUGUAGACUUCCCGUUAUACUUCAGUUUUUCCUUGGAAAACUAGUCAACGUAAUUUCUUGAAAACACCCUUGAUUUAUCUUCUCUGCUAGUAGAAUAUUACGUAUACAUUUCAAGCUACAUAUAUGAUGUCGAUUUGUCUCUUUUCGAAAAAAUAAACUAGGAAGGGAGAUAUUGAAACACCGCAAUGGAGAUACGCGGUGUCGCACUACUUAAUAGCCACAGGAGAAAAACAAGGGGGAUUUACGGGAAACAAGGCUAAAAUACAACAUAAAAAAAACGAGACGUUUCAACUCAAAGCUGAGUCAUUUUUCCUCGGAGUAUAAGUUAAAAAUUAAAAAAUAUCGAAGAAAAAAACCCGAGAUCUACAUGUGUUGGUGUCCGAGAUCCGAGAGAAACAAACGGAAAAACGAUAGUUUUCUCGGAUCUCGGCCACAGGUUGUUUCUUCGAAAUUUUUUAAUUUUUAAUUGGACUGCAUUUUGCAAUUUGGACCUAUCAAUUCCGGCCCGGUUUAAAAACAACGCAUGUGCCAUUAGUUUCCGUAUGCACAUAAGUAUUUUUUUCAGAUGAGCCAGAAUUCAUAAGUCCAAAUUGCAAAAUGCAGUCCAAUUUAUUCUCCGACUGAAAAUGACUCAGCUUUGAGUCGAAACGUCUCGGGUUUUUUAUUUUGGUAUUUGUGCCUUGCUUUCCGUUUUUCCCUUGUUUUUCACCUGUUACUAUUGUCUCGGGCUGCUUUGUGUCUGCACUAUAAAUAGACAUCGAUAUAUUAAAAAUUUAAAAAAAAAAAAAAAAAAAAAAAAAAAAAAAAACGUAAGGUCCGAGCAUGUCAAACUGAAAUAAAGUAGGGAAAGUCGAGCGAAUUCAUUGAGAAGCGGCAACCAAGCGCAAUAAUCGAGAUGUAAGCGCCCAAUGG